This 780-nucleotide ribosomal RNA is filed under the name Staphylococcus aureus. Its description in RNAcentral is "partial 23S ribosomal RNA". It matches the Rfam family "Bacterial large subunit ribosomal RNA", at positions 1411 to 2186 of the family's 2925-position model. The record is from RNAcentral. Lineage: Bacteria; Bacillati; Bacillota; Bacilli; Caryophanales; Staphylococcaceae.
GUAGGCGAUGGAUAACAGGUUGAUAUUCCUGUACCACCUAUAAUCGUUUUAAUCGAUGGGGGGACGCAGUAGGAUAGGCGAAGCGUGCGAUUGGAUUGCACGUCUAAGCAGUAAGGCUGAGUAUUAGGCAAAUCCGGUACUCGUUAAGGCUGAGCUGUGAUGGGGAGAAGACAUUGUGUCUUCGAGUCGUUGAUUUCACACUGCCGAGAAAAGCCUCUAGAUAGAAAAUAGGUGCCCGUACCGCAAACCGACACAGGUAGUCAAGAUGAGAAUUCUAAGGUGAGCGAGCGAACUCUCGUUAAGGAACUCGGCAAAAUGACCCCGUAACUUCGGGAGAAGGGGUGCUCUUUAGGGUUAACGCCCAGAAGAGCCGCAGUGAAUAGGCCCAAGCGACUGUUUAUCAAAAACACAGGUCUCUGCUAAACCGUAAGGUGAUGUAUAGGGGCUGACGCCUGCCCGGUGCUGGAAGGUUAAGAGGAGUGGUUAGCUUCUGCGAAGCUACGAAUCGAAGCCCCAGUAAACGGCGGCCGUAACUAUAACGGUCCUAAGGUAGCGAAAUUCCUUGUCGGGUAAGUUCCGACCCGCACGAAAGGCGUAACGAUUUGGGCACUGUCUCAACGAGAGACUCGGUGAAAUCAUAGUACCUGUGAAGAUGCAGGUUACCCGCGACAGGACGGAAAGACCCCGUGGAGCUUUACUGUAGCCUGAUAUUGAAAUUCGGCACAGCUUGUACAGGAUAGGUAGGAGCCUUUGAAACGUGAGCGCUAGCUUACGUGGAGG